Long non-coding RNA from Monodelphis domestica (gray short-tailed opossum), 2137 nucleotides. RefSeq lists it as uncharacterized. Lineage: Eukaryota; Metazoa; Chordata; Mammalia; Didelphimorphia; Didelphidae. The record is from RefSeq and is a predicted model, not a curated record.
UGACCGUGAAAAGGGGUUUGGGGAGUGCAAGGGAGGAGGUAGGUGAUGAAGGAAAAAAAGGUGGGGAGACGACAGAAAAGUAAGAGCCUUCCAAGUCCAAUAGCAAGACAAAGGUAGGAUGACUGGUGAUGACCUGAAAUGAAGUAGAUGACCUUGACUUCUUCACUCCACAGCAUCUGCUUUUAGACACCUUCAUGGCAUUGGAACAAAUUGUUCUCAUCUGCUCAUUCCACCAGGGGAAGUCUUCACACGCUUGAGUUUCUGACAGGUUUGUGGUCCAUCAGUUACUCUCAACUUGGUUUAUCCCAUCUGCCAAGAUGAUUUACUAGAAUGCAACUGCUGAUUAUGCUACAGCUUCUUGGAGUCACAGGUAAAUGAUCAUGACCUUGUGAGCUCCGAAAGGGAAAAAGAGAACUUCAAAAGCCGAAAGAAAGCACCUCUGGAAAUUCAGGACUGGAAUCCAUGCCAGAGUUUAGAAGCAGCCAAGCCCUGUGGGCAACAGAGACUGGAAGAGAGAUCUGAUUGACCCAGAUUGUUAGAGUAUCAACCUGACUGCUGGGUUGGGGGGGCGGGAGGUUGGCUGCUGUCAAAGCCUCUCAUUGGCUCGUUCCUAUUUAUGGAUUCCACCUAGCUUUAUGCAGACGUUUUCCAAGAAUUGUGUCUACAGGUUGCUCCAGGACUACUUUCUAGUUAGUGGUUUCAGUGUUCUUGCAAAUAGAGGAAAUGCACAUACACCGAAAUAUGAAUAGCAGCACUGUUUGUGAUAGCAAAGUAAUGGAAAUAAAGCCACGCCCAUCAAUUGCUGCACAGCCAAAUAAAUUGUCAUUCGUGAAUAUAAUGAAUAGUUCUGUGGUAUAAAAAACGAUAAAUAUAAUGAGUACAGAGAAAGGGGGAAGAUGGGAACUAAGGAAAACCGAAACCAGGAAAACAAUAUGCAAAUUGGAUGCAGAUUAUAUAAACAGUGAUGUCAAGGGAAAGUGCACACAAAAAGAAACAAAACGAAUGCUGCCUAAGUAAUUACAAUGCCCAAAUUUGUUUUUUCCCCCUCCCCACAAAGAGAUGGAAAAACACAACUCCCUCUAUUUUAACGUCCCUAAAACACACUGUACUUUACAGAUUUAAUAUUACAUGGAAAUGCUCACAAGGCAGAAUUUAAAUGCUUUUCUAGUAACUUAAUAGAGGGAAUAUACAUUUUAUUGGCUGUUAAGUCACAUAUCUGUAUGUAUAUUUUGUGGACUAUAUACAUACAUAUAUAUGGAAUAUACACUUUCUUACAUGGAAAGCUGACCUCCAUCUUAGGUGACCUGGGCACAUUAAAAAAAGUCCUGUUUUUCUUUCUUGGGGAAGUGACACUGAAAACCAUCAAAACAUGCAACAUUUUGUAGAGCUGAUAAAUAGUCAUCGCCUUUUCACUUAGGCAUGGCACUGUCCAAACAAGUCCAAAAAAAGUCAUGUCUUUCUAGCAAGUCUUUCCAGCUGGACUUGACCCAGGACCCCUAAACUCUUGAGGUAGGUGUUUCCCCUUCAAAAACAAACAAAUCCAUCACUAUUUGGUCUCCUAAUGUUCAGUGAACGUAGGAAGCAGUAAGAAGUGGCCAGAGGCCAGAGGCUUAGGAUCUAGCAGCUAUAUGUGAACAGAUACUAUAAGUGCUGGGGUUGAAGAAUGAAAGAAGAAAUACCCUUUCCCUAUACCAUAAGAUGUCUGAGGCAGACCUGUGGAAGUCCCAAGCCACAUGUUCAGGAGAGAGUAAAGGCAGAUUUCUCUCUCUUUCUCUCUUUAGGUUCCUUAACCUUAGGUCUAUAAACUCUUUAGCUAACUUUAUUUCAAUAUAUAAUUUCCCUUUAUAAUGCUAUAUAUUUAAAGAAAACGAUUCUAAGAGUGGGUCCAUAAAUUUUACCAGAUUCCUACUCCUCCUACUUUUCCUAGCCCUCCCCCAACUCAACUUUCCAAUUUUCUUACAUUUUUUUUUUAAUCCUUACCUUCUCUCUUAGAACAUCAGUCCCAAGGCAGAAGAUGGGGAUGGUGCUGUCUUUUACAUUACCCCUCUACCUCACCCACAUAUAUUUUUGGUCUGUACCUGUGAUUUUGGCAGUGUAGAGCAAUGAUCUACACACUGGGAUAUAUAUAUAUAUAUAU